UCUAUCUACCUAUCUAUCUACAUGUAUAUAUAUUAUAUAUUAUAUGAAUCUAUCAUAUUAUGAAUAAAAGCUGUGGCCAGAUAUCGCCAAACCAUAUAUGUAUUUUGUUUUAAUGGCACCAUCUGAGAUAAUGGAAUUUAAGUUAAUAGACUUAAAUUCAGUUAUCGCCGGGGCCACUCACGGAUUGUGUUUCAUGUUUUAGAUUUACCCGACAUGAGUGACGUUAUAUUCUGUGACGUCAUUUAUUCCUUUUUAGAAUUUCAUCGCAGCAAGCAAGCUGUUUAAAUUUUGUAAGCGGUAAACUUGAAAACCCGCCCUCCCACUCCUUUUUAUUGAACAAGAUACUGCUCUUUUGUAUUUAUUUUUCAGGUUUUGUCGGUGAUAGUGGUGAUACAGAUUUGACUGAUGAUGUUAACUCGUUUGCUGUUGAGAAAAGUGACUUUAUUUUUGAACUUUGAGCAUCAUAACUAUAUUCCCGUAAAUGGCAGAAUUCGCUGCAUAGAAUCUUAAUGUUAACUAUGAAAUUUUAGGUUUUUGGAUAAUACAGACUACACUUGUGUAUCCCACGGUGUUUUCUAAAUUUUAAGCACCAGUGUAUCCCACGGUGCAUCUUUACAUAUAUAUCUAUCUUCACAUAUAUCUAUCUAUCUACCUGGUUGCCAUAUUAUCUUCGGGUAACCGACCAUAGAUCUAUCUACAUAUACAUGGUCUAUGGUCUAUAUAUCUAUCUACAACAUAUCUUAGUAUCUAUCUACAACAUAUCUAUUAUAUAUAUAUUAUAUAUUAUAUGAAUCUAUCAUAUUAUGAAUAAAAGCUGUGGCCAGAUAUCGCCAAACCAUAUAUGUAUUUUGUUUUAAUGGCACCAUCUGAGAUAAUUU
RNAcentral lists this long non-coding RNA (878 nucleotides) under Mytilus galloprovincialis (Mediterranean mussel). Lineage: Eukaryota; Metazoa; Mollusca; Bivalvia; Mytilida; Mytilidae. The record is from RNAcentral.